Molecule: ribosomal RNA, 301 nt
Filed under: uncultured bacterium
Lineage: Bacteria
Description: partial 16S ribosomal RNA
Rfam family: Bacterial small subunit ribosomal RNA
Source: RNAcentral
CAGUCGCCGCGGGAAUACAGAGGGUGCGAGCGUUAAUCGGAUUUACUGGGCGUAAAGCGUGCGUACGCGGCUUCUUAAGUCGGAUGUGAAAUCCCUGAGCUUAACUUAGGAAUUGCAUUCGAUACUGGGAAGCUAGAGUAUGGGAGAGGAUGGUAGAAUUCCAGGUGUAGCGGUGAAAUGCGUAGAGAUCUGGAGGAAUACCGAUGGCGAAGGCAGCCAUCUGGCCUAAUACUGACGCUGAGGUACGAAAGCAUGGGGAGCAAACAGGAUUAGAUACCCGAGUAGUCCCUGUCUCUUAUAC